This 325-nucleotide ribosomal RNA is filed under the name uncultured Bacillota bacterium. RNAcentral describes it as "bacterial SSU rRNA". It matches the Rfam family "Bacterial small subunit ribosomal RNA", at positions 28 to 351 of the family's 1533-position model. The record is from RNAcentral. Lineage: Bacteria; Bacillati; Bacillota.
GAUGAACGCUGGCGGCGUGCUUAACACAUGCAAGUCGAACGGACUUUAGGAGCUUGCUCCUAGAGUUAGUGGCGGACGGGUGAGUAACGCGUGGGUAACCUGCCCUAUGCAGGGGGAUAACGUUCGGAAACGAACGCUAAUACCGCAUAACCUAGUCGGUUCGCAUGAACUGACUAGCAAAGAUUUUAUCGGCAUAGGAUGGACCCGCGUUAGAUUAGCUAGUUGGUGAGAUAACAGCCCACCAAGGCAACGAUCUAUAGCCGGCCUGAGAGGGUGAACGGCCACACUGGGACUGAGACACGGCCCAGACUCCUACGGGAGGCAG